Molecule: ribosomal RNA, 620 nt
Filed under: Bacillus tequilensis
Lineage: Bacteria; Bacillati; Bacillota; Bacilli; Caryophanales; Bacillaceae
Description: bacterial SSU rRNA
Rfam family: Bacterial small subunit ribosomal RNA
Source: RNAcentral
GCUCCCUGAUGUUAGCGGCGGACGGGUGAGUAACACGUGGGUAACCUGCCUGUAAGACUGGGAUAACUCCGGGAAACCGGGGCUAAUACCGGAUGGUUGUUUGAACCGCAUGGUUCAAACAUAAAAGGUGGCUUCGGCUACCACUUACAGAUGGACCCGCGGCGCAUUAGCUAGUUGGUGAGGUAACGGCUCACCAAGGCAACGAUGCGUAGCCGACCUGAGAGGGUGAUCGGCCACACUGGGACUGAGACACGGCCCAGACUCCUACGGGAGGCAGCAGUAGGGAAUCUUCCGCAAUGGACGAAAGUCUGACGGAGCAACGCCGCGUGAGUGAUGAAGGUUUUCGGAUCGUAAAGCUCUGUUGUUAGGGAAGAACAAGUACCGUUCGAAUAGGGCGGUACCUUGACGGUACCUAACCAGAAAGCCACGGCUAACUACGUGCCAGCAGCCGCGGUAAUACGUAGGUGGCAAGCGUUGUCCGGAAUUAUUGGGCGUAAAGGGCUCGCAGGCGGUUUCUUAAGUCUGAUGUGAAAGCCCCCGGCUCAACCGGGGAGGGUCAUUGGAAACUGGGGAACUUGAGUGCAGAAGAGGAGAGUGGAAUUCCACGUGUAGCGGUGAAA